AUGCUUACUUCAGCAGCACAUAUAUUAAAAUUGGAACAACACAGAGAUUAGCAUGGCCUCUGUGCAAGGACGACAUGUAAACUUGUGAAGCAUUCCAUAUUUUA
This is a small nuclear RNA of Cebus imitator (Panamanian white-faced capuchin), 104 nucleotides long. The record is from Ensembl. Lineage: Eukaryota; Metazoa; Chordata; Mammalia; Primates; Cebidae.